RNAcentral lists this long non-coding RNA (990 nucleotides) under Arabidopsis thaliana (thale cress). RNAcentral describes it as "ncRNA (AT2G08455)". The record is from RNAcentral. Lineage: Eukaryota; Viridiplantae; Streptophyta; Magnoliopsida; Brassicales; Brassicaceae.
AGACUGAGACUUGAUGGUCAAAACAUUGGCUUGACUUAUGUUGGUGCAAUGAAAAUGGUACCCACGGCUUCAAACUUUAGUCUUUAGAUUGAGACUUGAGACUGAACGUUGAUCCUUCUUGGUACCCACGGCUUUAAAAUCACUUAAACAUAUGGAUCAUGUUUGGUUUCUUGUUUCGGUCUUUAGACAAUAGUUACCCACGGCUUUAAAAGUUACAAGUCUUUAGACAGAGACUUGAGGGACAAGACAUUGGAUUGAGUUAUGACAAGUCUUUAGAUAGAGACUUGAGGGACAAAACAUUGGAUUGGGUUGUGACAAGUAUUUAGACUGAGACUUGAGGGACAAAACAUUGGCUUGAGUUAUGUUGGUGCAAUGAAAAUGGUACCCACGGCUUCAAACUUUAGUCUUUAGACUGAGACUUGAGACUGAACGUUGAUCAUUCUAGGUACCCACGGCUUUAAAAUCAUAAAGACAUAUGGAUCAUGUUUCGUUUCUUGUUUCGGUCUUUAGACAAUAGUUACCCACGGCUUUAAAAGUUACAAGUCUUUAGACAGAGACUUGAGGGACAAGACAUUGGAUUGAGUUAUGACAAGUCUUUAGAUAAAGACUUGAGGGACAAAACAUUGGAUUGGGUUGUGACAAGUCUUUAGAGUGAGACUUGAGGGACAAAACAUUGGCUUGAGUUAUGUUGGUGCACUGAAAAUGGUACCCACGGCUUCAAACUUUAGUCUUUAGACUGAGACUUGAGACUGAACGUUGAUCAUUCUUGGUACCCACGACUUUAAAAUCACAAAGACAUAUGGAUCAUGUUUGGUUUCUUGUUUCCGUCUUUAGACAAUAGUUACCCACGACUUUAAAAGUUACAAGUCUUUAGACAGAGACUUGAGGGACAAGACAUUGGAUUGAGUUAUGACAAGUCUUUAGACAAAGACUUGAGGGACAAAACAUUGGAUUGGGUUGUGACAACUCUUUAGACUGAGACUUGAGGGA